RNAcentral lists this ribosomal RNA (567 nucleotides) under uncultured bacterium. RNAcentral's name for it is "partial 16S ribosomal RNA". It matches the Rfam family "Bacterial small subunit ribosomal RNA", at positions 355 to 916 of the family's 1533-position model. The record is from RNAcentral.
UGGGGAAUUUUGGACAAUGGGCGAAAGCCUGAUCCAGCAAUGCCGCGUGUGUGAAGAAGGCCUUCGGGUUGUAAAGCACUUUUGUCCGGAAAGAAAUCCUUGGCUCUAAUACAGUCGGGGGAUGACGGUACCGGAAGAAUAAGCACCGGCUAACUACGUGCCAGCAGCCGCGGUAAUACGUAGGGUGCAAGCGUUAAUCGGAAUUACUGGGCGUAAAGCGUGCGCAGGCGGUUUGCUAAGACCGAUGUGAAAUCCCCGGGCUCAACCUGGGAACUGCAUUGGUGACUGGCAGGCUAGAGUAUGGCAGAGGGGGGUAGAAUUCCACGUGUAGCAGUGAAAUGCGUAGAGAUGUGGAGGAAUACCGAUGGCGAAGGCAGCCCCCUGGGCCAAUACUGACGCUCAUGCACGAAAGCGUGGGGAGCAAACAGGAUUAGAUACCCUGGUAGUCCACGCCCUAAACGAUGUCAACUAGUUGUUGGGGAUUCAUUUCCUAGUAACGUAGCUAACGCGUGAAGUUGACCGCCUGGGGAGUACGGUCGCAAGAUUAAAACUUAAAUGAAUUGACGG